This 74-nucleotide transfer RNA is filed under the name Deinococcus reticulitermitis. RNAcentral's name for it is "tRNA_Pseudo_???". The record is from RNAcentral. Lineage: Bacteria; Thermotogati; Deinococcota; Deinococci; Deinococcales; Deinococcaceae.
GGAGUGCGUCUGGGACGGCAGAAUCCGGCAUGGCAUUCAGAAGGUCAGGGGUUCGAAUCCCCUCAGCUCCACCA